Molecule: ribosomal RNA, 399 nt
Filed under: uncultured Intrasporangiaceae bacterium
Lineage: Bacteria; Bacillati; Actinomycetota; Actinomycetes; Micrococcales; Intrasporangiaceae
Description: bacterial SSU rRNA
Rfam family: Bacterial small subunit ribosomal RNA
Source: RNAcentral
AAUAUUGCACAAUGGGCGCAAGCCUGAUGCAGCGACGCCGCGUGAGGGAUGAAGGCCUUCGGGUUGUAAACCUCUUUCAGCAGGGAAGAAGCGAAAGUGACGGUACCUGCAGAAGAAGCACCGGCUAACUACGUGCCAGCAGCCGCGGUAAUACGUAGGGUGCAAGCGUUGUCCGGAAUUAUUGGGCGUAAAGAGCUUGUAGGCGGUUUGUCGCGUCUGCUGUGAAAUUUCGGGGCUCAACCCCGAACUUGCAGUGGGUACGGGCAGACUAGAGUGUGGUAGGGGAGACUGGAAUUCCUGGUGUAGCGGUGAAAUGCGCAGAUAUCAGGAGGAACACCGAUGGCGAAGGCAGGUCUCUGGGCCACUACUGACGCUGAGAAGCGAAAGCAUGGGGAGCGA